AGAUGAAUAAAUAAAAGCUUCUAACUUUUUUAAAGUUUUAUAAACUAUCAUCUU
Molecule: transfer RNA, 54 nt
Filed under: Taeniothrips tigris
Lineage: Eukaryota; Metazoa; Arthropoda; Insecta; Thysanoptera; Thripidae
Description: tRNA-Ser
Source: RNAcentral